CACACACCAACACCUCACACGUUUUAUCAUCAAGUCCCUUGAGCUGUUCAAGCCUAAUAAUAUUUGAAAAGAGAUUCUAACCUCCUUAAGUGGACCCAUGUUCAGUAUAUUCUGGAACAGGUCGUACAUAAUUCUCAAUGUAAAGUUACCCUGAGAGAGCUUUUCCAGAAGUUCAGGCUGUUGAUCUUUAGGUACUACCUCUUGUAGCUUAUCAACAAAUCCAGACCAGUCACCCAUUCCUAUUGUACAUUACAUUAUCAAGAUUCUGACUCAACAACCCAUGAAAAGCCUUUCAUUACUCAACAAUGCCAUGAAAGUUACCUAAGAGACGGCUAACAAAUGGUUUGACGUCAAACACUUCAAACUCAUCCAUAUGCUCUCCUGUUCCGAUAAAUAUCACAGGACUUUUCGUAGCUGCAACACUAACAAAAUGACAAUGGAUCAAAUUCACUUUUCCAACUGAAAAAAGCCUACAAGAAUUUAUAUUGACCAUUUCAAGUACAUAGGACGAUUUAGUAGCUACAAGAUACUUACGCGCUAAGAGCACCACCACCCUUGGCAUGGCCGUCCAUCUUAGUAAUAAUUACAGCUCCAACAGCAACACUUUGCUUAAAGGCUUGAGCUUGAUCAAAUGCAGCUUGACCAAUACUGCUAUCCAUAACAAAUAUAACAAGAUCUGGUUUCUGUAAAGUGAAAAGACCAUGAUCAGAGUCUGCAACAUCAACCAGGAACAAAUAGAAGACUUCAAGGCAACAGAGCAUACCGUUGCUUCAGCAACUUGACGCAUUUCUUCAAAGAGAGUAGCUUCUUGUUUAUGGCGACCACUAGUAUCAACAAUAAUGAGAUCACAGUUUUCUUUCUUAAACGUAUCAACUCCCUCAACAGCAAUUUUCACAGGAUCGGAUUCCGUGUAGCUGCAAGAAUCACAACUCAGUAUUAGCGCAUUCUGCUACCACAGUACGCCCUAGAGAAUGGUUAUAAAUGUUAAUCCAGAAUGUCUUCUUUUUUCAUUUCUUUGUGUUACUGUCAUUGAAGUAAAUCCAAAUGACCAAAUCUACAAAUAGCAUAGUAGUAAUAAUUGCAAAUAGAAAGAGAAGAGACCACAAGACCUCAAAAGAUCCAUUUAUGCAUACUGUUGAACUUUUUGACAAAGAUGCAAAUUUUUUGACAGAGUGGCACUGUGUAAUGAGUUCCGAAAAAAGAGUCCAAGAAAAAACAGGCAAAGGGCUUAAAGUAGUAACCCCUAGAGGUAAGUGGCAUGCAGAGAACUAGAGAAGUAUGACAAAACCUAUUGGAUAAUGGGUUAAAGAAACAUAUUAAGAAACAGCAGUCCUUUUGAGUCCAGAUUUUUGCAGCUACUGACCUAAACAAAACCUAUUUCAUAAAUUUUGUGCCUUGUGUCUACCGUUUCAAAGAAAAUUCCAUCAUUUUUCACAGACACUCCUAAAAGUGAGCUAAUAAUAUCAUUUGGAAAUGCCACCAAGAAGAAAACUGAUAGUAAGAUAUAAUAUUAAUACUAUAUCGCAAAGAGGUUGACUUGAGUACCUUCCAUAAAAGGGGAUCUUAGCCUUGGUAGCAUUCUGUUUCAGCUGAUCGAAAGCACCGGCCCUGAAAGUAUCCGCACAAACUAGGGCUGGUUUGUAUCCUUUCUUCUGAUGAUAAUAAGCAUACUUAGUACAAGUUGUCGUCUUUCCAGCACCUAAAAACACAAUCACAAAAAAAUUGACAUUACAUCAAAAACAAACCCAAUUUGGACAUAAAGAAUAAACAUCGUCUAACAAAGACCUCACCUUGUAAUCCAACAAACAUAACUACACUAGCUUUAGCCUUUUUAGGAGCAAACGCAGGCUUUCCUGGAUCCAACAUCUUACAAAGUUCACUAAAGAUAGCCUGAGAGAAACAAUACAAGAAUCACAAACAAACCCAAUUACAUCGAAUUCCAAAAAUCGAUACUUUGGGAAAAAAAAAAAAAAAUGAAACCUGUUCAAUGAUCCGGCGUUUGUUGUGACCAGCUGCUAGAUCUUCAAGAUUGACGAUCUUCUUGAUAUUACUCUGCAUCUCCUUCACAAGAGGAAACGAAACAUCGGAUUGAAGCAGAGCACGAGUGAUCUCGUUCAAACAUUCAUUCAAAGCCUUCUCAUCGAUAAUUGUCACAUUGCUCAUCUGCUGUAUCGCGCGGGUAAUCCGCCCGCCUAGCUCCGCCAACACCAUUUUCGCUGCUUUGCGAAUUCAACAAAAGCUUGUUCGGAGGAGAAGAAUCAGAUUUGGGGGAAUUUAGAGCUAGGGUUUUGAUCUAAGAGAUAUCUUUGGUCGCGAUUGAGACAACGGAGAGAAGUUGAAAACUUGAUCCGAGGAUAUUAAUUUCUAAUUCCUCCUAUGUCCAUUAACCGGUACCGGUUAGGAGACGAAGCAAAUCUAAAUUUAUGGGCCUUACGAAGCUCACAAUAGGCCCAAUGGGUCAGGUGGUCUAUAGAUAUUAAACAAUGCAUCCAACUUUUUCUAUAUUUCCGAUUUCGAAAACGAAAAAAAUUGUGGAGGAAUAGUCCAUUUCGUAUAAUCCAAAAUUCCAAAUGUAGAAAAUCUAUCCAUAUAUACAUUUUUUGAUCACAAUUAGCAAAUAAAUCCUGAAGUUGAGAAGUAUUUACAAUGACAUGCCAUUAGCAUUAAUUAUUUAGAUUUGUUUUAUUUAAGUAAAGAUUUUUAAUUGAAAUUCAUUUCUCAUAUAUUUAGCAAAAGUCUCUACAAAAUCUUUCCUUAUCUAUUUAAGUAAACACAAACCAAGUGUCAAAGAAAAAAAGAAAAAUCAUAGAGAGGAAAAACUCUAAAACAGACGAUAAGUGGAAAAAAACCACCAAUUCCAGUAUUUCACCAUCUACAAUUUGUGUUUCACGAUUGUGAAGGACUGAAGGGAGGGAUAUUUGUUAGAGAACUAGAGAAAAUUAGGCUUCAGCUGAUCAAAAUCUUAACAAAGUAUCCAUAUAUUCUUAUAUAUUAACUGUAUAUCUUAAAUGCAUCUUUAAAUCAGAGAUUCUAAAACUAAUACUCCCUCUAUUUCGUUUUAGUUGUCGUUUAAAGUUUUUUCACACAAAUUAAGAAAACAUUAAAUUUGCUGUUUUACUCUUUAUUAAUAUAUUUUAUGAAAAAUUUCAUUGGCCAAAACAUUAAAACAGUAGGGAUAAAACUGGAAUUUUCACCAAACAUUUGCAUUGAAAACCUAAAACGACAACUAUUAUGAAACAAAAUUUAAAUCCUAAAACGACAACUAAACUGAAACGGAGGGAGUACUAAGUUAACGACCCUCAAAACUAAAGACAGAUGAAGGGGUUACAAAUUUUGGUGAACGUCAAAAAUGACUCUUAAUUCAUUCUUCUAUUGUUUGUUCUAUGUAAUUUCGAUUCAAAGGGAGUCAGAGGAUCUGUUCAAAGCUAAACCAGUAUUGUUACCCUAACUCUUUGUAUCAAAAAUGUUUUGAUUUUCAACAUAUAAUGUCCACGACUGGACCCAAGACAUUUUUUUGGCGAUCUAAUCAUUCUUUUGUUCCCAAAUCUCUUUUUGUAAAAUUGGAGAAAGAUUGCAAAUGUUUUACAAAUACAGGAGGGGAAACACUCUAAUAAUGACAACGUAACAAGGUCUAGUUUUUGGGUGUGCAAGAAAGAAACUACUUGUCUCCGCCACCGAACAUUCCCAUCAUGUCCUUGCCGGAACCCAUCUGCUUCAUGAGACUCUGCAGACCGCCCAUGCCACCAAUCUGCUUGAGCAUCUGCGGCGGUAGGACCUUGCUCAUGUGCUGUGCGUUCAUGUUUCUCGAGAGUGCACUCAUAUCUCCAUUCUUUGGGAUCUUGAGCCCUUUCAUCUUGCUCCAUAUCUUUGCUAGCAGCCUCUUGUACUCUUCCAACAUCUCCAUCACUUCUCUUACUUGCCUCCCUGACCCUCUUGCUAUCCGCAUCAUCCGUGACUCGUUAAACACCUUUGGGUUUGAGCUGUCCAGUUCUGCACAAACCACAAACCACCCAUCACUUUUUUGCCACUACUCUGAUUAUUUCUACUGAUACACUUUCUCCAAAUAAGAUAUAUUAUUGUUCUUACCAUCAUUUGUCAUAGAAUCCAUCAUUGUCAUGUACCGCUUUAUCUUCGCCUGGCUUUCUUUCUCAUGUCCUUUUGGCAUCAUUUCAGCACUAAUUCCAGGCAGCAUCGAGAAAACCUACACACACACCAACACCUCACACGUUUUAUCAUCAAGUCCCUUGAGCUGUUCAAGCCUAAUAAUAUUUGAAAAGAGAUUCUAACCUCCUUAAGUGGACCCAUGUUCAGUAUAUUCUGGAACAGGUCGUACAUAAUUCUCAAUGUAAAGUUACCCUGAGAGAGCUUUUCCAGAAGUUCAGGCUGUUGAUCUUUAGGUACUACCUCUUGUAGCUUAUCAACAAAUCCAGACCAGUCACCCAUUCCUAUUGUACAUUACAUUAUCAAGAUUCUGACUCAACAACCCAUGAAAAGCCUUUCAUUACUCAACAAUGCCAUGAAAGUUACCUAA
This 4531-nucleotide long non-coding RNA is filed under the name Arabidopsis lyrata. RNAcentral's name for it is "long non-coding RNA (ALYR_LNC003282)". The record is from RNAcentral. Lineage: Eukaryota; Viridiplantae; Streptophyta; Magnoliopsida; Brassicales; Brassicaceae.